CACAGAACCCUCGCACAUCACCCUCGCACAGCGCCCUCACACACAUACUGCACCCUCACACACACACACAGCACCCUCCCACACACACUAUACUCCUCACAAAUGCACACUACACCCCUCACACACACAGCAGCCCCCAAACACGCUGCACCACUCACACACACACUCACUAGAUCUCCUAUACGCACUCCUGAGUCCUUCAAAC
Pelobates cultripes (western spadefoot toad) is the source of this 205-nucleotide non-coding RNA. NCBI's taxonomy places the organism in Eukaryota, Metazoa, Chordata, Amphibia, Anura, Pelobatidae. The record is from the annotation of a GenBank genome assembly.